This 837-nucleotide ribosomal RNA is filed under the name Massarina eburnea. RNAcentral describes it as "eukaryotic LSU rRNA". It matches the Rfam family "Eukaryotic large subunit ribosomal RNA", at positions 74 to 930 of the family's 3401-position model. The record is from RNAcentral. Lineage: Eukaryota; Fungi; Ascomycota; Dothideomycetes; Pleosporales; Massarinaceae.
AUUGCCCUAGUAACGGCGAGUGAAGCGGCAACAGCUCAAAUUUGAAAUCUGGCUCUCUUUGGGGGUCCGAGUUGUAAUUUGCAGAGGGUGCUUUGGCGUAGGCGGCGGUCUAAGUUCCUUGGAACAGGGCAUCGCAGAGGGUGAGAAUCCCGUAUGUGGUCGCCUGCCUUCGCCGUGUAAAGCCCCUUCGACGAGUCGAGUUGUUUGGGAAUGCAGCUCUAAAUGGGAGGUAAAUUUCUUCUAAAGCUAAAUAUAAGCCAGAGACCGAUAGCGCACAAGUAGAGUGAUCGAAAGAUGAAAAGCACUUUGGAAAGAGAGUCAAACAGCACGUGAAAUUGUUGAAAGGGAAGCGCUUGCAGCCAGACUUGCCCGCAGUUGCUCACCUAGGCUUUUGCCUGGGGCAUUCUUCUGCGGGCAGGCCAGCAUCAGUUUCGGCGGUCGGAUAAAGGUCUCUCUCACGUACCUGCCUACGGGUAGCCUUAUAGGGGAGACGACAUGCGACCAGCUGGGACUGAGGUCCGCGCUUCGGCUAGGAUGCUGGCGUAAUGGCUGUAAGCGGCCCGUCUUGAAACACGGACCAAGGAGUCUAACAUCUAUGCGAGUGUUUGGGUGUCAAGCCCGAGCGCGCAAUGAAAGUGAACGGAGGUGGGAACCUUAGGGUGCACCAUCGACCGAUCCUGAAGUCUUCGGAUGGAUUUGAGUAAGAGCAUAGCUGUUGGGACCCGAAAGAUGGUGAACUAUGCUUGAAUAGGGUGAAGCCAGAGGAAACUCUGGUGGAGGCUCGCAGCGGUUCUGACGUGCAAAUCGAUCGUCAAAUUUGGGCAUAGGGGCGAAAGA